AUCCAUGCCUGACUUUACACCUCUAUCAUUCCCAUGCAUGGGUCCCUUCCUCCACCUCUGUUGCUCUCUCUCUUUUUAACACAAUAGAAACAAGAGAUAGCGAGAAAGAGAUGUGAGAUUGAAGCAAAGGAAGAAGAACACAAUUGUGACAAAAAUAGGGCUUUUCUAUUUGACUUUUUUUUUUUUUUUUUCACUUUCAUUUCAUUCCAAAGAGUGGAAUAAAAAGACACUUGUGCUUUUCCCUUCCAUUGAGUAUGUGAUCUCAAUAUCAUUGCUGCAUCGAUUUCCCAUUUAUGG
Long non-coding RNA from Arabidopsis thaliana (thale cress), 297 nucleotides. RefSeq annotates it as other RNA. NCBI's taxonomy places the organism in Eukaryota, Viridiplantae, Streptophyta, Magnoliopsida, Brassicales, Brassicaceae. The record is from RefSeq. The transcript has a single exon.